RNAcentral lists this ribosomal RNA (510 nucleotides) under uncultured eukaryote. RNAcentral's name for it is "SSU rRNA". It matches the Rfam family "Eukaryotic small subunit ribosomal RNA", at positions 20 to 575 of the family's 1831-position model. The record is from RNAcentral.
GUAGUCAUAUGCUUGUCUCAAAGACUAAGCCAUGCAUGUCUAAGUAUAAACAAUUAUACAGUGAAACUGCGAACGGCUCAUUAAAUCAGUUAUCGUUUAUUUGAUAGUUUUCUACAUGGAUAACCGUGAUAACUUCAGAACUAAUACAUGACAGCCUUCUGGCGUAUAUAUUAGAUACAAACCAACAGUAUGGUGAUUCAUAAUAUCUUGUCGAACCGAUCUUCGGUGUAUCAUUCAAAUUUCUGCCCUAUCAACUGUCGAUGGUAGGAUCGUGGCCUACCAUGGUAACAACGGGUAACGGGGAAUCAGGGUUCUAUUCCGGAGAGGGAGCCUGAGAAACGGCUACCACAUCCAAGGAAGGCAGCAGGCACGCAAAUUACCCAAUCCUGACACAGGGAGGUAGUGACAAUAUAUAACGAUCCGGGGCUCUUUGAGUUUCGGAAUUGGAAUGAGUACAAUUUAAACACCUUAACGAGGAACAAUUGGAGGGCAAGUCUGGUGCCAGCAGCC